Molecule: small nuclear RNA, 295 nt
Filed under: Fonsecaea erecta
Lineage: Eukaryota; Fungi; Ascomycota; Eurotiomycetes; Chaetothyriales; Herpotrichiellaceae
Description: U2 spliceosomal RNA
Rfam family: U2 spliceosomal RNA
About the family: U2 is a small nuclear RNA (snRNA) component of the spliceosome (involved in pre-mRNA splicing).
Source: Rfam by way of RNAcentral
GUCCCAGCUUUGCCAACUGGCUUAGAUCAAGUGUAGUAUCUGUUCUUUUCAGUUUAAUCGUGAGUACUCCUCAGGUCCCAGUAUCAUUUGGCUUGAGCUAACAACUCGGAAGUCUGAAAUGUGAGCACCUCACGGCUCUGAAUACCCUGCUCCCGCUGACUGUUAUCAGGUCACUACGGUGACAAACAUUGAUUAAAUUUAUUUUUGCACCUAGCUUGGAUCCUUCUGUGCUUGCACAGAGGUCCCUCGCACCGUGUCCGAGGCCUUACACUGCCGCCUUGUGACGCGAACAAUC